This 276-nucleotide unclassified non-coding RNA is filed under the name Grifola frondosa (maitake). RNAcentral describes it as "partial internal transcribed spacer region". The stretch from base 1 to 46 matches the Rfam family "Eukaryotic small subunit ribosomal RNA", at positions 1786 to 1831 of the family's 1831-position model. The record is from RNAcentral. Lineage: Eukaryota; Fungi; Basidiomycota; Agaricomycetes; Polyporales; Grifolaceae.
AAGUCGUAACAAGGUUUCCGUAGGUGAACCUGCGGAAGGAUCAUUAACGAGUUCAGAAAAGGGUUGUAGCUGGCCUCAAAUCCGGGGCAUGUGCACACCCUGCUCAUCCACUCUCACACCUGUGCACUUUCUGUAGGUCGGUUCGGGAUCUGGUCCCUUGCGGGGUCGGUUCUGUGCCUUCCUAUGUACAAUCACAAACGCUUCAGUAUUCAGAAUGUCAUUGCGAUAAUUAAAACGCAUCUUAUACAACUUUCAGCAACGGAUCUCUUGGCUCUC